Nicotiana attenuata is the source of this 213-nucleotide long non-coding RNA. RefSeq lists it as uncharacterized. NCBI's taxonomy places the organism in Eukaryota, Viridiplantae, Streptophyta, Magnoliopsida, Solanales, Solanaceae. The transcript has 3 exons. The record is from RefSeq and is a predicted model, not a curated record.
GGUUUUAUUUCGCUCAUCUCCUCUCUUUUUUCAGUCUCCCCUCUCUCACCGCCUAACCAGCUCUCAACCAAUCCGCUGCCACCAUCACCUUCGAAAUUCUCCAACAAGUGGAAGUUGCAGGCUGCAAGGCAAAGGGAAGAUAACAUUCUGGUUAGCAAUUUCAUUGUUAUAAGAUCACGGUACCGGAGCAGCUUUUGGACCACAGCAGUAGGA